AAAAAAUAACAAUGGAUUUUUGUGCCAAGAUGACGGGCCAUCUUCUGAUCAACGAGAUCGAAGAUGGUUGCAGGAAGAAUAUGGUGCUAUCCCCGCUAUCAUUCAAUGCUGUACUCAGCAUGAUUGCUGCAGGAUCGACUGGAUUGACCUUGUACCAGAUGUCCAAGUUCUUGAAUGCAACAACCUUGAUCAUGUCAAUUCAAAGUUAAAAAACUUGACGAGCAUUGCAUCAUCAUCAACUGAUGAUCACAACACCACCAAUGGCAAUCAUGGUGGUGGUCCUGUUAUCUGUCUGGCGAACGGACUGUGGGCAGACAAACAAUACCCUCUAAAACCAUCGUAUCAAAGACUCGUUGAGAGAGUUUAUAAAGCCCAAGCCAAGAACGUGGACUUUGUUAACCAGCAACCAAAGGGCUCGUGACCGACGUUCUCACGCCUGCCAACAUCACUCCAGCUACCAUGCUCAUUCUUGGAACUACACUGUACUUCAAAGGUUCGUGGGAGGAAAAGUUUAACGCAGAGGAAACCGCGAACGGAGACUUUUACCUUUUAAAUGGGGACACAGUUUCAGUACCCUUCAUGACUGGUUGCGAAGCAUAUACUCACUCAUGGAUCAUACGAAGGUUUUGAGGUUGUUAGUAUUCCAUAUCAGAGAGGAAAAGUAUUCUCCUUGUUCAUUUUCCUUCCAAAUGAGAGAGAUGGAUUGCAUAAUCUAUUGGAACAGACAACUCUUGAUUCGGGAUUCUUUACACAAGAUUUUCAGCUCAAGUACGGGGGAUAUGAUACUUUCUGGAUUCCAAAGUCUAAGUUUGCAUUCCAUACUUCUAAAGGGCGACAAACCAUGGAAGAUAUGGUGCUAAAGUUACCAUUUAUGUAGGACUGUAAAGAGCUAACCGGGUUCAUAGACACCAACGGAUUUCCAUUUUAUGUCUCUGAGAUAGUUCAAAAAGCUUUUAUAGAGGUAGAUGAGGUAGGCACGGAAGCAGCAGCUGUUACUGUUGCGUGUGAUUACUUGGUUGCUCAUUAGAUGAUGAGACGAGAUUUGUGGCUGAACAUCCUUUCAUGUUCAUGAUAAGGAAGAGAGCUCCAGGUCAGUGCUGUUUACUGGAGCGGUAUUGAAUCCUCUAGUUCAGGACUGAUCCUGUCAACUCUCUCAACAAGUAUAUUAGUUUUCGGGGGGUAGGGUUUCCAGCUUCGAGUUGAACUUGGCAUGAUAAUGAUGACAUUGUCUUGUUUUUGCUCCAGUCGCGGGGUAGAGUAUUUUGGCAGGUGAUGAUGUG
This is a non-coding RNA of Coffea arabica (coffee), 1280 nucleotides long. Lineage: Eukaryota; Viridiplantae; Streptophyta; Magnoliopsida; Gentianales; Rubiaceae. The record is from RefSeq and is a predicted model, not a curated record.